RNAcentral lists this ribosomal RNA (20 nucleotides) under Capsicum annuum. Its description in RNAcentral is "partial 18S ribosomal RNA". The record is from RNAcentral. Lineage: Eukaryota; Viridiplantae; Streptophyta; Magnoliopsida; Solanales; Solanaceae.
CUGCGCAAGGAUCAUUGUCG